This 436-nucleotide ribosomal RNA is filed under the name Bradyrhizobium elkanii. Its description in RNAcentral is "bacterial SSU rRNA". It matches the Rfam family "Bacterial small subunit ribosomal RNA", at positions 29 to 508 of the family's 1533-position model. The record is from RNAcentral. Lineage: Bacteria; Pseudomonadati; Pseudomonadota; Alphaproteobacteria; Hyphomicrobiales; Nitrobacteraceae.
AGCGAACGCUGGCGGGACCGAAUUGACUUGCAAGUCGAGCGGGCAUAGCAAUAUGUCAGCGGCAGACGGGUGAGUAACGCGUGGGAACGUACCUUUUGGUUCGGAACAACUGAGGGAAACUUCAGCUAAUACCGGAUAAGCCCUUACGGGGAAAGAUUUAUCGCCGAAAGAUCGGCCCGCGUCUGAUUAGCUAGUUGGUGAGGUAAUGGCUCACCAAGGCGACGAUCAGUAGCUGGUCUGAGAGGAUGAUCAGCCACAUUGGGACUGAGACACGGCCCAAACUCCUACGGGAGGCAGCAGUGGGGAAUAUUGGACAAUGGGCGCAAGCCUGAUCCAGCCAUGCCGCGUGAGUGAUGAAGGCCCUAGGGUUGUAAAGCUCUUUUGUGCGGGAAGAUAAUGACGGUACCGCAAGAAUAUGCCCCGCGUAACUUCGUGC